AGUGAACGCUGGCGGUAGGCCUAACACAUGCAAGUCGAACGGCAGCACAGUAAGAGCUUGCUCUUACGGGUGGCGAGUGGCGGACGGGUGAGGAAUACAUCGGAGUCUACUUUUUCGUGGGGGAUAACGUAGGGAAACUUACGCUAAUACCGCAUACGACCUACGGGUGAAAGCAGGGGAUCUUCGGACCUUGCGCGAUUGAAUGAGCCGAUGUCGGAUUAGCUAGUUGGCGGGGUAAAGGCCCACCAAGGUGACGAUCCGUAGCUGGUCUGAGAGGAUGAUCAGCCACACUGGAACUGAGACACGGUCCAGACUCCUACGGGAGGCAGCAGUGGGGAAUAUUGGACAAUGGGCGCAAGCCUGAUCCAGCCAUACCGCGUGGGUGAAGAAGGCCUUCGGGUUGUAAAGCCCUUUUGUUGGGAAAGAAAAGCAGCAGGUUAAUACCCCGCUGUUCUGACGGUACCCAAAGAAUAAGCACCGGCUAACUUCGUG
RNAcentral lists this ribosomal RNA (492 nucleotides) under uncultured bacterium. RNAcentral describes it as "partial 16S ribosomal RNA". It matches the Rfam family "Bacterial small subunit ribosomal RNA", at positions 29 to 507 of the family's 1533-position model. The record is from RNAcentral.